Molecule: ribosomal RNA, 497 nt
Filed under: uncultured bacterium
Lineage: Bacteria
Description: partial 16S ribosomal RNA
Rfam family: Bacterial small subunit ribosomal RNA
Source: RNAcentral
GAUGAACGCUGGCGGCGUGCCUAAUACAUGCAAGUCGAGCGAACGGACGAGAAGCUUGCUUUUCUGAUGUUAGCGGCGGACGGGUGAGUAACACGUGGAUAACCUACCUAUAAGACUGGGAUAACUUCGGGAAACCGGAGCUAAUACCGGAUAAUAUUUUGAACCGCAUGGUUCAACAGUGAAAGACGGUCUUGCUGUCACUUAUAGAUGGAUCCGCGCUGCAUUAGCUAGUUGGUAAGGUAACGGCUUACCAAGGCAACGAUGCAUAGCCGACCUGAGAGGGUGAUCGGCCACCCUGGAACUGAGACACGGUCCAGACUCCUACGGGAGGCAGCAGUAGGGAAUCUUCCGCAAUGGGCGAAAGCCUGACGGAGCAACGCCGCGUGAGUGAUGAAGGUCUUCGGAUCGUAAAACUCUGUUAUUAGGGAAGAACAUAUGUGUAAGUAACUGUGCACAUCUUGACGGUACCUAAUCAGAAAGCCACGGCUAACUACGUG